RNAcentral lists this ribosomal RNA (1031 nucleotides) under Salmonella enterica. Its description in RNAcentral is "bacterial LSU rRNA". It matches the Rfam family "Bacterial large subunit ribosomal RNA", at positions 140 to 1211 of the family's 2925-position model. The record is from RNAcentral. Lineage: Bacteria; Pseudomonadati; Pseudomonadota; Gammaproteobacteria; Enterobacterales; Enterobacteriaceae.
UCGUCACACUAUCAUUAACUGAAUCCAUAGGUUAAUGAGGCGAACCGGGGGAACUGAAACAUCUAAGUACCCCGAGGAAAAGAAAUCAACCGAGAUUCCCCCAGUAGCGGCGAGCGAACGGGGAGGAGCCCAGAGCCUGAAUCAGCAUGUGUGUUAGUGGAAGCGUCUGGAAAGGCGCGCGAUACAGGGUGACAGCCCCGUACACAAAAGCGCAUGUGCUGUGAGCUCGAUGAGUAGGGCGGGACACGUGGUAUCCUGUCUGAAUAUGGGGGGACCAUCCUCCAAGGCUAAAUACUCCUGACUGACCGAUAGUGAACCAGUACCGUGAGGGAAAGGCGAAAAGAACCCCGGCGAGGGGAGUGAAAAAGAACCUGAAACCGUGUACGUACAAGCAGUGGGAGCACCCUUUGGGGUGUGACUGCGUACCUUUUGUAUAAUGGGUCAGCGACUUAUAUUCUGUAGCAAGGUUAACCGAAUAGGGGAGCCGGAGGGAAACCGAGUCUUAACCGGGCGUUAAGUUGCAGGGUAUAGACCCGAAACCCGGUGAUCUAGCCAUGGGCAGGUUGAAGGUUGGGUAACACUAACUGGAGGACCGAACCGACUAAUGUUGAAAAAUUAGCGGAUGACCUGUGGCUGGGGGUGAAAGGCCAAUCAAACCGGGAGAUAGCUGGUUCUCCCCGAAAGCUAUUUAGGUAGCGCCUCGUGAAUUCAUCUCCGGGGGUAGAGCACUGUUUCGGCUAGGGGGCCAUCCCGGCUUACCAACCCGAUGCAAACUGCGAAUACCGGAGAAUGUUAUCACGGGAGACACACGGCGGGUGCUAACGUCCGUCGUGAAGAGGGAAACAACCCAGACCGCCAGCUAAGGUCCCAAAGUCAUAGUUAAGUGGGAAACGAUGUGGGAAGGCCCAGACAGCCAGGAUGUUGGCUUAGAAGCAGCCAUCAUUUAAAGAAAGCGUAAUAGCUCACUGGUCGAGUCGGCCUGCGCGGAAGAUGUAACGGGGCUAAACUAUGCACCGAAGCUGCGGCAGCGA